Molecule: ribosomal RNA, 491 nt
Filed under: uncultured bacterium
Lineage: Bacteria
Description: partial 16S ribosomal RNA
Rfam family: Bacterial small subunit ribosomal RNA
Source: RNAcentral
GUGAACGCUGGCGGUCGGCCUAACACAUGCCAGUCGAACGGCAGCACCGUAAGAGCUUGCUCUUACGGGUGGCGAGUGGCGGACGGGUGAGGAAUACAUCGGAAUCUACUUUUUCGUGGGGGAUAACGUAGGGAAACUUACGCUAAUACCGCAUACGACCUACGGGUGAAAGCAGGGGAUCUUCGGACCUUGCGCGAUUGAAUGAGCCGAUGUCGGAUUAGCUAGUUGGCGGGGUAAAGGCCCACCAAGGCGACGAUCCGUAGCCGGUCUGAGAGGAUGAUCAGCCACACUGGAACUGAGACACGGUCCAGACUCCUACGGGAGGCAGCAGUGGGGAAUAUUGGACAAUGGGCGCAAGCCUGAUCCAGCCAUACCGCGUGGGUGAAGAAGGCCUUCGGGUUGUAAAGCCCUUUUGUUGGGAAAGAAAAGCAGCAGGUUAAUACCCCGCUGUUCUGACGGUACCCAAAGAAUAAGCACCGGCUAACUUCGUG